GAUGAACGCUAGCUACAGGCUUAACACAUGCAAGUCGAGGGGAAACGCCAUUGAAGCUGGCUUCGAUGGUAGUCGACAGGGGCACGGGUGAGUAACGGGUAUCCAACCUGUCUUUCACCAAGGGAUAACCCGUCGAAAGUCAGUAUAAUACCUUAUGCAGGCGCCGGAAGUCAUUGGAUGAGGACGAAAGAUUUCAGCGGGGAGAGGUGGGGAUGCGUCUGAUUAGCUUGUUGGCGGGGUAACGGCCGACCAAGGCCAAGAGCAGUAGGGGUUCUGAGAGGAGGGUCCCCCCCAUUGGAACUGGGCACCGGUCCGAACUCCGCCGGGAGGAAGCAGUGAGGAAUAUUGGUCAAUGGGCGAGAGCCUGAGCCAGCCAAGUAGGGUGCAGGAGGACGGCCCUAUGGGGUGUAAACUGCUUUUAUGCGGGGAUAAAGUGAGGGACGUGUCCUUCAUUGCAGGUACCGGAGUAAUAAGGACCGGCUAAUUACGUG
Molecule: ribosomal RNA, 491 nt
Filed under: uncultured bacterium
Lineage: Bacteria
Description: partial 16S ribosomal RNA
Rfam family: Bacterial small subunit ribosomal RNA
Source: RNAcentral